This 465-nucleotide ribosomal RNA is filed under the name uncultured bacterium. RNAcentral's name for it is "partial 16S ribosomal RNA". It matches the Rfam family "Bacterial small subunit ribosomal RNA", at positions 338 to 795 of the family's 1533-position model. The record is from RNAcentral.
CCUACGGGGGGCUGCAGUGAGGAAUAUUGGUCAAUGGGCGAAAGCCUGACGCAGCGACGCCGCGUGAGGGAUGAAGGUCUUCGGAUCGUAAACCUCUGUCAGCAGGGAAGAACGGUCACUGUGCUAAUCAGCAGUGAAUUGACGGUACCUGCAAAGGAAGCACCGGCUAACUCCGUGCCAGCAGCCGCGGUAAUACGGAGGGUGCGAGCGUUAAUCGGAAUUACUGGGCGUAAAGCGCUCGUAGGCGGUAUGUCAAGUCAAGGGUGAAAUCCCCGAGCUCAACGUGGGAACUGCCUUUGAAACUGGCAAACUGGAGUGUGUGAGAGGAUAGUGGAAUUCCAGGUGUAGGAGUGAAAUCCGUAGAUAUCUGGAGGAACAUCAGUGGCGAAGGCGGGUUCCUGGACAUUAACUGACGCUGAGGCACGAAGGCCAGUGGAGCGAAAGGGAUUAGAUACCCUUGUAGUC